GUAGCCUCCCUGCUCUGACCUCUGCUGUCCUACUGCUACUCUAAGCACUGGAACAAGAGCAAGUUUUGAGGACCUGAAUAUAAGCUGUGGAAGCUGCCUCAAUGUAAGGAAAAGGAAAGAAGAAAAUCCCAAAUCUGGCUAAUAAUUACACAGUGAACGGUG
Pipra filicauda (Wire-tailed manakin) is the source of this 162-nucleotide long non-coding RNA. RefSeq lists it as uncharacterized. The record is from RefSeq and is a predicted model, not a curated record. The transcript has 3 exons. NCBI's taxonomy places the organism in Eukaryota, Metazoa, Chordata, Aves, Passeriformes, Pipridae.